This 111-nucleotide ribosomal RNA is filed under the name Acanthosepion pharaonis. The record is from RNAcentral. Lineage: Eukaryota; Metazoa; Mollusca; Cephalopoda; Sepiida; Sepiidae.
UUACGGUCAUAUCAGGUUCAAACACUGGUUCUCAUACAAUCACCAAAGUUAAGCAACAUCAAGCCUGGUCAGUACCUAGAUGAGUGACCACUUGGAAAUACCAGGUGCUAU